AGGAAAUGGAACCCAAUGAAGGGAUCCCGAAAGUCCAUGGUACACACAUGUCAGCAACAUUUCUUUGGAAAAAUCACAUAAAAAGGGUCCCAAGAUGUAGUCCACCGAGACAGUAGAAUUGUUCUUAUCUGAUAGACCUUGUCAUCAGCAAAAAAAGGUGUUUUGUGAAUGGGAGCAGUGGGUUGAAGUUUAUCUGGAGCAGGGCAUUGUGGCACACCGUGCACUGUCCUAUUCAUCAUUUCAGAGGGUGCCAUCUUGAUGUCUGCAUUCACCCACACCGCCUACUUUAUCUUAGAUCUCCAAUGAAUUGGUAUACUCCAUAUAUUACUGAUGUCCACAGUUUGGCGAAUUUUGAAAAAUGUUAAGCUGCACUCCUGUAAUCUAGCGUUUUCCUAUAUUAUAUCGGUAAUAUAUGUGAACAUGUUUAAUAGUUGGGCAAAAAGUUUCAGUUGAUUGUAACUGCUUCAUCGUAGAAAUAAACAUGCAUAUAUAUGCUACUUCAA
Triticum dicoccoides is the source of this 503-nucleotide long non-coding RNA. RefSeq lists it as uncharacterized. NCBI's taxonomy places the organism in Eukaryota, Viridiplantae, Streptophyta, Magnoliopsida, Poales, Poaceae. The transcript has 3 exons. The record is from RefSeq and is a predicted model, not a curated record.